GGGGAUGAUCGGUUUCGACAUCGCCUGUGUGCGAACGAGAAGCGGGCCGAGGAUCCAGGGUUAUCUCGUAAACGAUCUCUGGAAAACAAUAAGUGCCAAUAACAAGCGCACUGACUUCGCUCUCGCUGCGUAAGCAGUAGAGCCAAUAAGUCCGUCAGUCUGGUGACCGCCUUCUAACCAGUCCCUGACGUCAUCAAGAGGGCUCGCUGCGUGACUACGCCUGGGGGUCACGCGGGACUCGCACUCGGGCUGGGCCCGUCGACCUAGAAGCCAGUAGCAAAGGUCGGGGCCGAGCAGAACGUCUCAUCUGGCUACGCCCGUAGAAUGCGUGCAAUCUCAGCGAUGGACGGGGGUUCAAUUCCCCCCAUCUCCACCA
This 376-nucleotide transfer-messenger RNA is filed under the name Frigoribacterium faeni. RNAcentral's name for it is "Standard tmRNA". It matches the Rfam family "transfer-messenger RNA". Rfam says of the family: Bacterial tmRNA, also known as 10Sa RNA or SsrA, is named for its dual tRNA and mRNA-like properties. Lineage: Bacteria; Bacillati; Actinomycetota; Actinomycetes; Micrococcales; Microbacteriaceae. The record is from RNAcentral.